CCUACGGGGGGCUGCAGUGAGGAAUAUUGGUCAAUGGGCGCAAGCCUGAACCAGCCAUCCCGCGUGAAGGAAGAAGGCCCUACGGGUUGUAAACUUCUUUUCUGUUUGAAGAAUAAGCUCGUCGAGACGAGUGAUGCCGGUAGGACAGGAAUAAGCAUCGGCUAACUCCGUGCCAGCAGCCGCGGUAAUACGGAGGAUGCAAGCGUUAUCCGGAUUUAUUGGGUUUAAAGGGUGCGCAGGUGGUUUAAUAAGUCAGUGGUGAAAGUCUGGCGCUUAACGUUAGGAUUGCCAUUGAUACUGUUAGACUUGAAUAUGGAUGAGGUAGGCGGAAUGUGUAGUGUAGCGGUGAAAUGCUUAGAUAUUACACAGAACACCGAUUGCGAAGGCAGCUUACUAAUCCAUCAUUGACGCUGAGGCACGAAAGCGUGGGGAUCAAACAGGAUUAGAUACCCCAGUAGUC
RNAcentral lists this ribosomal RNA (460 nucleotides) under uncultured Bacteroidota bacterium. Its description in RNAcentral is "bacterial SSU rRNA". It matches the Rfam family "Bacterial small subunit ribosomal RNA", at positions 338 to 795 of the family's 1533-position model. Lineage: Bacteria; Pseudomonadati; Bacteroidota. The record is from RNAcentral.